Molecule: ribosomal RNA, 500 nt
Filed under: uncultured bacterium
Lineage: Bacteria
Description: bacterial SSU rRNA
Rfam family: Bacterial small subunit ribosomal RNA
Source: RNAcentral
AUUGAACGCUGGCGGCAUGCCUUACACAUGCAAGUCGAACGGUAACAGGUCUUCGGAUGCUGACGAGUGGCGAACGGGUGAGUAAUACAUCGGAACGUGCCCAGACGUGGGGGAUAACGAGGCGAAAGCUUUGCUAAUACCGCAUACGAUCUAAGGAUGAAAGCAGGGGACCGCAAGGCCUUGUGCGUUUGGAGCGGCCGAUGGCAGAUUAGGUAGUUGGUGGGAUAAAAGCUUACCAAGCCGACGAUCUGUAGCUGGUAUGAGAGGACGACCAGCCACACUGGGACUGAGACACGGCCCAGACUCCUACGGGAGGCAGCAGUGGGGAAUUUUGGACAAUGGGCGAAAGCCUGAUCCAGCAAUGCCGCGUGCAGGAUGAAGGCCUUCGGGUUGUAAACUGCUUUGUACGGAACGAAAAGGACUCUGGCUAAUACCUGGGGCACAUGACGGUACCGUAAGAAUAAGCACCGGCUAACUAACGUGCCAGCAGCCGCGGUAAU